RNAcentral lists this ribosomal RNA (400 nucleotides) under uncultured bacterium. RNAcentral describes it as "bacterial SSU rRNA". It matches the Rfam family "Bacterial small subunit ribosomal RNA", at positions 355 to 748 of the family's 1533-position model. The record is from RNAcentral.
UCGAGAAUUUUUCACAAUGGGGGAAACCCUGAUGGAGCGACGCCGCGUGGGGGAUGAAUGGCUUCGGCCCGUAAACCCCUGUCAUUUGCGAACAAACCUGGUGGUUGAACAAACUGCCAGCUGAUAGUAGCAGAAGAGGAAGGGACGGCUAACUCUGUGCCAGCAGCCGCGGUAAUACAGAGGUCCCAAGCGUUGUUCGGAUUCACUGGGCGUAAAGGGUGCGUAGGCGGUGGGGUAAGUUUGAGGUGAAAUCUCCGGGCUCAACCCGGAAAUUGCCUUGAAGACUAUCCUGCUAGAGGAUCGGAGGGGAGACUGGAAUUCUCGGUGUAGCAGUGAAAUGCGUAGAUAUCGAGAGGAACACCAGUGGCGAAGGCGAGUCUCUGGACGAUUCCUGACGCUG